GAAAACAGGAAUAUAAGAGAAGAAAAUGGGAAUUUGAGAGAGAAAAUUAUACAGUUACUAAGAGAGAAAGACAGCCUGUGGCACUCGAACCAGCGUCUGGAAGAGGUCGCAACGUGGCAGAGACGGACAGGAAACACGGAGUGGCUGAGGGACGCAACGGCCAGCGAGUGCAUGCUGUGCGGCACUCCCUUCACCCUGCUGCGGAGGAGGCACCACUGCCGGCACUGUGGGAGGAUCUUCUGCUCGGGAUGCGUUGAUAACUGGAUUCUGACAGAGGCAGAAAGCCGGCGCGUGCGAGUGUGUGUGACGAGUAGUUUUUCAGUUCAGGCGGGAGUUGGCUUCCAUUGUUGGCUUCUCCAUCGCACU
This is a non-coding RNA of Penaeus vannamei (Pacific white shrimp), 366 nucleotides long. The record is from RefSeq and is a predicted model, not a curated record. NCBI's taxonomy places the organism in Eukaryota, Metazoa, Arthropoda, Malacostraca, Decapoda, Penaeidae.